RNAcentral lists this long non-coding RNA (439 nucleotides) under Anser brachyrhynchus (Pink-footed goose). RNAcentral's name for it is "lncRNA (ENSABRG00000001677.1)". The record is from RNAcentral. Lineage: Eukaryota; Metazoa; Chordata; Aves; Anseriformes; Anatidae.
GUACCUCAUCAAGAAGAGAUUCUAAAGAAUGUACAGCUCUAAGAACAGUGAGUUGUUGUGAAAUACAAGCUCACAGUUUGAUUAUUUUCUUACAUGUUUUCUUAAUUGUCCUUAAUUGUCAUUUCUACAGACAGAAACUCUGGAAGAGGCACCUGUUAGAUCAUGAAGUAAAAAGAGAAGUAAAGUGCGGAAGAAAUGGUGUAAGGUUAUAUGUGACCUUUUGGAGUCCUCUGGGAAGCCCUGGCUCAGAGCACGUGGAAAUAUAGGAAGACUAUCAGAUAAUAUUCAAUAAGAUGAGCCAGCCAAAAGAUUUGUCUUCUGUUCUUUCAUACAUUUACCUCGUCAUGUCACUGCCUACAUUUUAGCAAUCUCUCUGAUGAUGAAUAAGGAAACAACUUAUCUGCAGUAUCAGAAUAAAAAGGGAAGCCAAUGUAAAACA